This 232-nucleotide long non-coding RNA is filed under the name Ananas comosus (pineapple). Its description in RNAcentral is "long non-coding RNA (ACOM_LNC012718)". Lineage: Eukaryota; Viridiplantae; Streptophyta; Magnoliopsida; Poales; Bromeliaceae. The record is from RNAcentral.
GCUCACUUCCUUUCAGUUGCCUCAAUAUGCGGCCCAAAUCUCAUUUAAAUUAUCUUGAAUACUUUUUUUUGAGAGAGAUAGAUAGCACGCUACCCAUUUCGUUUAUUUCAUUUAGAAAUAAACUUAGCUAGAAAUGUGAAUCAACUAGGAUUCGAACUUGGGUCUCAGAUACCAACCACCAAGCCCUUUGCCACUUGCUCUAGGGACGGUUGAUUGAAUACUUAAAAAUAAU